GUGCACCAGUCGCGAAACUUUACAAUGUGCGAAAGCACGAUAAGGGAACUCUGAGUGCCUCCUAAGGAGGCUGUUCAGGUGUCUAAAAGCACCUGAAGGAAGGGCUGGGUAAGACCGGUGCCAGCCGCCGCGGUAACACCGGCAGCCCAAGUGGUAGCCACGUUUAUUGGGUCUAAAGCGUCCGUAGCCGGCUGGGUAAGUUCCUUGGGAAAUUUGGCUGCUUAACAGUCAAGCUUUCAGGGAAUACUGCCCGGCUUGGGACCGGGAGAGGUCAGAGGUACUCCAGGGGUAGGGGUGAAAUCCAUUAAUCCUUGGGGGACCACCGGUAGCGAAGGCGUCUGACCAGACCGGGUCCGACGGUGAGGGACGAAGGCUAGGGGCGCGAACCGGAUUAGAUACCCGCGUAGU
Molecule: ribosomal RNA, 408 nt
Filed under: uncultured microorganism
Description: bacterial SSU rRNA
Rfam family: Archaeal small subunit ribosomal RNA
Source: RNAcentral